AUUGAACGCUGGCGGCAGGCCUAACACAUGCAAGUCGAGCGGAGCGGCGGACGGGUGAGUAAUGCAUAGGAAUCUGCCUGGUAGUGGGGGAUAACGUCCGGAAACGGGCGCUGAUACCGCACACUAUCAGUUGAGUCUAGGUGGGAUUAGCUAGUUGGUGGGGUAAUGGCUUACCAAGGCGACGAUCCGUAACUGGUCGGAGAGGAUGAUCAGUCACACGGGAACUGAGACACGGGCCAGACUCCUACGGGAGGCAGCAGUGGGGAAUAUUGGACAAUGGGCGCAAGCCUGAUGCAGCCAUGCCGCGUGUGUGAAGAAGGUCUUAGGGUUGUAAAGUACUUUAAGUUGGGAGGCGUUACCGACAGAAUAAGCACCGGCUAACUUCGUGCCAGCAGCCGCGGUAAUUC
Molecule: ribosomal RNA, 407 nt
Filed under: uncultured bacterium
Lineage: Bacteria
Description: partial 16S ribosomal RNA
Rfam family: Bacterial small subunit ribosomal RNA
Source: RNAcentral